AUUGCUUCAGUAGAUAGCUUUCUAUUUAUGCUUUGAUCAAAUUAUGUGAUUAUGUGAGUAUGACUUGUACAGGAUAUACAAAGAUUCUCAAUUGCAUCACAUAAUUAGCUAAAAGUAUGGGAAUGUUGUUAAAACCUUGUCUAGCUGUUAGCUUUUAAUAUUGUGUACUUGUAGCGGAAUUGUACGAUCCAUCCCACAUCAAUUCAUCACCUAGCGGCUAGCAGCGCACACCUGUGUAGACGGACCCAAUAAGCAUGUUGGACCACCUCCUUACCUAAAAGGUUAACCUAUUAGGUUAAUGCUCUACCAUACUUAUUAACCCAUCUACACUCUUGAAUUUAUUCAAUGUGGAAUUCAUGUGAAAUAUCCCAACAAUCUCCACCUUUCAUUUGAAUACCCAUCACAAAUAUCAUAUUAGAGUAUUCUCAUCAUUAAGCACACCUUCUUUGAAAUACUACUCCACCACGCCAGCAACAAACGUGUGUCUCAGCAGUUUUUCCUAAAGCCAUCCGAGCCCUGCUCCACCCGAUUCAAAUACUUCACCUUUGAGUCUUUCAAGAGCUUUGCUUGACUCUAAUAUUACUCCACCACGUCCGGGGCAAACGUGUCUCAGCAACUUCCCUAGAGCCUUCCUAAAAUAUGCGCUAUAUAAAACAACGGAGACCAUAUAUUCGAUAACAAGCAAGAAUGUUUAUCUAGUUUCCCAAAAAUUAAAAGUAUAUACCGGAGAUAGAAUGAAAUAUAUUGCACGGAUGACUAAAAAUAAUCUAUUAGACUAUUACAAUUAUAGCAUUGACAUUAACCAAUGCAUCAAGUGCUCGAGCCCCUCAGCUAUAAGCCCCUCCAAUAACGCAUCAAACAAAUUCGAAAUUCUUAAACCCAAUUGCUUAAUUUUUGACUCUAUAACCUCUAACAUCUUCUUUCAAUUGGUGAAAAAAUGACAAUGCAAGACUGAGGUUUUCUCUGAGUGUGUUCAAAUGAAAAGUAACUUUAGAAUUUACUAGAGAUAAUACAUACAUACACACACAUGGUGUGGUUUCGGUUUUAUGCGUGCGGUUUUGGCUAGUAACCAAACCGGAACCGUAAAUUUGGUUAUUCAACCCACCUAAAACCGCCACAUACGCCGGAACCGUUGGUGCGGUUUUAAUUGGUGCGGUUCGUGCGGUUUUUGGUGUGGUUUCGGUUUCAAUUUGGUUACUUGCUCAGUCCUACCUAGCAGCGCACACCUGUGUAGACGGACCCAAUAAGCAUGUUGGACCACCUCCUUACCUAAAAGGUUAACCUAUUAGGCUGAUGCUCUACCAUACUUAUUAACCCAUUUACACUCUUGAAUUUAUCAAAUGUGGAAUUCAUGUGAAAUAUCCCAACAAUCUCCACCUUUCACUUGAAUACCCAUCACAAGUAUCAUACUAGAGUAUUCUCAUCAUUAAGCACACCUUCUUUGAAAUACUACUCCACCACGCCAGCAACAAACGUGUGUCUCAGCAGUUUUUCCUAGAGCCAUCCGAGCCCUGCUCCACCCGAUUCAAAUACUUCACCUUUGAGUCUUUCAAGAGCUUUGCUUGACUCUAAUAUUACUCCACCAUGUCCGGGGCAAACGUGUCUCAGCAACUUCCCUAGAGCUUUCCUAAGCCCGCUCCACCCGACUCAAAUCAUCCCGUGCUCCACCUGAUUCAACUCUAUUUGCUCCACCCACGAGGCCUGCGAAUUUUACUUUCGCACUCCCCUCGCACCCUGGAGUUGAUACUUGUUGGACUCCCACGAGGCCUACGAAUUUUUUACCCUCGCACCUUGGAGUUGUUACUUGGGCCCAUCGAACCAUGGGCUUUGAUACCAUUUUGUAGCGGAAUUGUAUGAUCCAUUCCACAUCAAUUCAUCACGUAGCAGCGCACACCUGUGUAGACGGGCCCAAUAAGCAUGUUGGACCACCUCCUACCUAAAAGGUUAACCUAUUAUGUUGAGGCUCUACCAUACUUAUUAACCCAUCUACACUCUUGAAUUUUUCCAAUGUGGGAUUCAUGUGAAAUAUCCCAACAGUACUGUUGUCUUAGUUUUGUUUUACAGUGGUAGGAUUUUGGUCAUAAAGUUGAGUUUUAAUAUAUUUUUGACUGAGUGGACCAAGUGAUAAGUUUUUUACUUAGGUUAGUUUCAUGUAGGUUGUGUUUGUGGUUAGGAGGUGUAUGAUUCACUUUGGCUGAUUUUGCUAAAAGUCGAUACAUGCCAAGUUCAGACUUCAGCUGCUUACAUUGUUUGCCCAUAUAUGAUGAAGAGAAUGGAAGCAUAGGCCAAUGCAAACGAUGAGAAUGUUAAUUUUAUGAAAACGAUAUAUGGCAUUUUAAGAUAUUUAUUGAUUUAUGAUUGAAAGAAUUGGUUCUAUUUUAUUUAUCUUCAAUCCUUGUAUAAUGUUUUGGGUGUUGGAUGCUUACACGUAGCACAGACUAGAAUUGUCAAUCAGACGCAAUGCAGGAACUUGAAGUGUUCGCUGUCUUGACAACUGAUCUUGAGUGCCAUUCAUUGAGAAGAAAAUUGAGAAAGGAAGCUAAGAACUCAGGAUCCCUUAAAAUACUCUAGCAGGGACGAAACUAAUGCAUGGAUGCAGGGGGCCAUGGCCCCCCCAAGAUCUGAUUUAUUUUUGUUACUAAGUGAUGUGAACAAUUUUUUAGGCCCACUUGUUCAAUAAUAUAUUUUUACGAGUUUGAUGUACUACAACAUCAAGAAUUUCAAAAGUUGUCCACUAUUUCUGAUCUCUGUCAAUGGUUGGUGAAAACAUGAAAGUCAACAAUCUAUCCACUAAUCGAUAGACUGAUCAGGCUUGUUCUAACUCUUCCAGUUUCUACUGCAACUACAGAACGUGCAUUUUCAUCUAUGAGUUGUCAAAUCUGAACUUCGAAACAAGUAACUCUUCCAGUUUCUACUGCAACUACAGAACGUGCAUUUUCAUCUAUGAGUUGUCAAAUCUGAACUUCGAAACAAGAUGGAGGAUGAAUAUCUUACAAAUUCUCUUAUUGUCUACAUUGAAAAAGAAAUUGCGGAACAGUUCAUUACAGAAUCAAUCAUAGAUGGAUUUCGUGAUUUGAAAGAACGCCGGGUGCAAUUUUGACGAAG
Molecule: long non-coding RNA, 3105 nt
Filed under: Panax ginseng (ginseng)
Lineage: Eukaryota; Viridiplantae; Streptophyta; Magnoliopsida; Apiales; Araliaceae
Description: long non-coding RNA (PGIN_LNC010135)
Source: RNAcentral